This 408-nucleotide unclassified non-coding RNA is filed under the name plant metagenome. RNAcentral describes it as "partial contains 5.8S ribosomal RNA, internal transcribed spacer 2, and large subunit ribosomal RNA". The record is from RNAcentral.
GAUAAAGCUUAAAGACAACGGCCGGUGGCGCGUGCUGGCCGAGUUUUCGCAGGAGGAAAAGAGCGCGGUUCUGGACGCAAUAGCCAAGUUUGUCGCCACUUCGAACAACAAGACCUCGACAAGCGUGCUUGACGACCUUAUCGGCUACGUGUACACGCUCGCCGGCGAAGACAAGCGGAGCCAGCUGAGGGAUGCGCGCGAGUUCUCCACGAUGCUAAAUGCCUGCGGCAGGAUAGGCAAGGCAGGCGUGGGCAUCGCUAUAUGCAUGGGCGACAGGAACGCGAUGCUGAGCGCCGGCGAGGAAAUAGUUGGGGCGUACAGGACAACGUUGCGAAACUACCUCUCCACCAUUUUCAGCGAAAAGUGGCGGCUUGUAGACGACGGCAGGAACGCGUUUGUCAACGGCGA